This is a long non-coding RNA of Parus major (Great Tit), 6952 nucleotides long. RefSeq lists it as uncharacterized. The record is from RefSeq and is a predicted model, not a curated record. The transcript is spliced from 4 exons. Lineage: Eukaryota; Metazoa; Chordata; Aves; Passeriformes; Paridae.
CCAAGCCCCGGAAGGGCUCAGGGACGGGCCAUGGCCGUACAGCGACAUGGCGGCGCCCGCGGUGAGUGUUUGCCAGGCGCUGCAGGGCCACGGCGAACCCCGGGCUUUUCUCCAGCCGCCGAGAAUUUUCCUGGCGAACAGCCCGAGCUCUCGGUCCCUGUGUGCCCUCGGGGAUGGGAAUCGGCGCCUGGCCACAGCCGCGCUGGGGCUGCGGCUGCCCCUGCCCCUGCCCUUGUGCCUGUUGCUGCUCCCGGGUGCCGUCAUAGUGAUCCAUGUCUCUAGGAGGAGGAGGUUGCUCCAGGAAGUGCAGAUGGUUGGUGAAGGCUGUGGUUUCAGGGAGCUGAUCUUUCGUCCUGAAAAGGGGACUUAGGAUGUUGGUGGUACAUGGUCUGACAGCGGGAUGGCUUGUGGAUCAUCUCUCUUUCAUCAACCAGUGUGGCUAUGAGAUCUGUGACUCCUUUGCACACCCUGGUGGUGUCACUCACAGCACUUCUGUCACAUCUACUGAAGACUGUUACAGUAUUUCUACUUUUGCUGCCACGCCCUCAUCAAGCGAUAGUCCUCCUUUUGAUCCCGGAGAUGCCGUAGAAGCAGAAGGUAAAAGAGCAAAAAUGAGAUACGUGUUUUGGGAGGAGUUCUUGGAUAUUUCUAAGCCCUAUAUAGCUGCAGCUUGUGAGGAGCAGCCGUGUCCUGCCCUCAGGUGAGUCUGGCAGAAGUAAAGGCCAACAGCAACAGAGAGGAAUACCAAGAAGGAGCAAAGAGUGACACUGGAGAUUCUCUUGCCACUGCUAGGAAGAAAGGUGAAAGGAAAUGUGUAUUCAACCAAGGUGAACUGGAUGCUUUGGAAUACCAUUCAAAUGUAAGUUGGAAAAAAUGUAUAUUUUGCAAGUAAAAGCUACUUGACUUUGGGCAUGUGCAAAGUAGAGGGCAUGGUUGCAAACAAAUUCUGUUUUUGUAGCUUGUUCCACUGGUGCAAAGAAGGAAAGGAAGGUCAGUCUCUCCAAUCCUUACAUGAAUUCAUGCUUACAGAGUAGAUCUUUUAUGUAGACACAUGUGAAAUUGCAUCUGAGACAUUACAGAGAGCUGGAAGCUGCAUCCACAAAAUAACUUGUACUGCUGUAUGUUAUAAGGGAUUUUUUCCUUGAACUUGGGAGGUUAAUUAAAGUUGUUAUUGUUAGAGAGUUCAUUGAUAUGUUUAAUUAUGUUGUAAGAUUGUUAAGAUAAUUGUUGAGUGUAUUUUAGAAUGUUUGGGGUUGGGGUUGGUAUUGGAUUGGGGGUUGGGCGGAUAAAAUGGGGGAUUGGUAAGAGAUAUAAGAGGGCUUAUGGGGACAUGGAAUGGAACAUUCAAGAACAUGAUGUCAUCAGCAGAGUGAGUAAGGAUUGGAAGAAAUAUCCACCAAUCAUUUGACGCCCUGGGAAAAUGAUUGGACCAGGAUGAACGUGGCUAUGGACCAAUCAGAGCCCAAGAAAGCAGCCAAUCCUAAGACGGAUCCAAAACAGACCAAUCCAAGCCUAAGGGAGGGUAUAAAAUAGGGUGUUACAUGUUAGCGGGGACUUUUCUUUCUUUUCUUGUGGGGCUUUUUCCGUUGUUCGUGAGUUUUGUUCGAUACGUUGUUACUGUCCCGGUCUGUAGCGUGGAGCACACGGGACUAGCCUAUGUCUCCCUUCGGCUGCAGCUCAGUAUUAAUAAACAGGCCAGGCUUUAAUUACACCAGAAAGUCUCGAGCCUCGUUUAUAACACUAUAGAUAACUGAACAUUAUGUUGUGAUGAGUUAAAUAUUAGGAAGUGAUCAAUUUGAAAUUGGCAGCAUAACCCAUUCUGAAGAUCAGCUCUUCAGCAUUUCAUGACACUGUGCUGAGUUACUCAAAGCUUUUGGGACCUUUGAAGAAAAUGUGCUUCAAAGUAUCUUAUUCUGCAAUUGAAAAAAAAAAAAAAACAAACAACUUUUCCCUAACAUUUUAUAUUGUCCUACUAAAGGAUCAUGCAUUAAUUGGAAUUCUAAUCUAUGUGUUUAUGUCAGUGAUGUGCUGGUGAAGAUACAGCUGAUUAAUACUGAAGCAUAAUAGUGAAUAGUAGAAAUAAAAUCUGUAGGUAAUGUUUGAUGUAUUUUACUGCUUUCCCAAAUAGUGAUGUGAGCCUGAACUGGGAGCUACACUUGCUUUCUUUCCUUUGGCAAAGAUGUUAGUCAUAUUGGGCUUUUAUUCUUAAAUCUGUUCUGCUUGAACUACAUUUAGAUGAUUAUGCUUUUUUCCUUUUACACGGCAGCAAUCUUGUAGUAAAGAUUUGCAGCUUGCUGAUACAGUGUAGAGGUCCUGGGAUUAUUUUUGUGAGUAAGCUGUGCAUGUGCAAAAUCACCACAAAGGAAAAAACUUUGAAGUUCAGCAUGAAGUUCAACAUGAGUAUGAAAACUUCAGGGCAAAAAUAAAAUCAUUCAACAGUAGAAAUAAGGAAAGAAAUGAAGUCUUGAAGGCUUGUUUAACUUCAAAUGAUAUUUGGUAAAUAUGUAGAAAAGACAGAGUUUGGAAAAAUCUGUGACCCCAGUUAGCCUCUUCUAUCAUUCACAGAUUAGAAAGUAGUAUUGGGUUUUUGCUAUAUUUGUGUUGUUGAAGGUUAUAGCUCUGCAAGUCAACCCAGAUUAUUUUGACAUGUAUUUGUUUCUAUAGAGUCAUUGUCAAAAAACCCAAAGAACGCCAGUUUUGUUUCUGCAAAUGAAUCUAUGAAUUUUAGCUAUUGAAUCCAUUUAUGAAUUCCAGUCAGUGGCAACAGUACAAAAUAUGCUAAAUUCCUUCAGCAGCCAUUUGUUAAAACUGCUUCAAUAGCUUGAUAGACAGGAGACUUUGUCCACUUUGUCCACCUGUGAGUUAACGCAUGCAUGUAAGAGGGUGUUGUUUCUAAAGAUAUAUUCAUUAAUUCUGUUGAAACAGUAUGACCUCCUCUUAUCACAAACCAAGGUAGUAAAAAUUUAUGACUCUGUACUCUCUGAUAUCUAGAGGUGGCACUAUUAAAUUAUUAAAAAAAAAAAUUCUUCCCCUGUCACUAAUCUGGGAAUUGUAAUAAAGUAUAUUUUGUAAAACCCUCUUGUAGUCUUGAAGAUUCUGUAAUCAGAAGCAUUUGAAACCUUUAAUAAAGCCACUCUAACUGACAAUGGACGAAUGGAUAAACACACCUCACUGACAAUCAAAAGACAUAAAGGCUCCAUGAUUUGGGUAUAAAAUGGUGUGGGGGGCAAAGAUUUGUUUUUGGAUAAGCAGUGUUAAAGUGAGAGGUGUGUCUUUAAAGGCCAGGAAAAGUCAAUUCCACCCUCUGCCUCAGGAGAUGUGCCCUGUGAGCCCAGGAUGAGUUGCCCCACCUGCAGACCCCUGGUGGGGUGGCAGCCCAGGGUGUUGUGAUGUGUUUUGUGCCCCUGGGUUUCUCCUUUGCUCUGUCCCUAUUAGACCCUGACCUUAAACUCCAGCCUGGCUCUGUUCCAUAAAACCCCCACCCUGCCUCUGCUCUGUAUUCUCUGUCUCUGGAUUUAAGAUGAAUUUGUUCCUGUGUUGAAUAAAUGGUUUCCUGACAUUAACCAAGCAGAGACCCGUCUCGUUGAGUCCCUUGUUGGUCACCAGAACCCAUAACCUCCCUGGACUUGAUCCUGCAGCUGCGGAACGCAGCAAAACAGGUCUCUAAAUUUUGUGAAGGUGCUGAAGUGAAUAACAGUGUAUAUAGGUCCAGGAAUUGUGUCAUCCUGGACUGACUAACAGGCUAUUUGAGAGGUUUGCCACUUAGAAAAGUUACAAAAAUCAAAUUCUGAUACUUUGAUUUACUGAUUGUACUUCUGUAUUACUGUAAAAUGCAUAAACUGUUGUUUUAUGAAGUGAAUUGAAAUGUGGAAAAUGACUUAUUUUUAGAUCCCAGUAUACAUUUCAAUUAAAAGUAUGUUCAUGGGCACAGUGACUUGAAAUUAGAAUUUUCAAUUAAACUUCAGAUAGUUGCUUUGAAAUUUGAAAUUCAAAUGUUUGGUUGAAACAAUGAUAUUCCACGUCUGCUGUCUGAAAUGUUUUAUUCAGUAGUUUCACAUUCUUUCUUUCUCCAGCCUUCUAAUUAUUGUAACUUUACCAAAAAAUGAAAAACAACAGCAGAAGUUUGCGUGGUGUCCUGGUAUUGGAUUUGAUCUAUGGCUGGCUGCUACUUCCAUCUGUCAAUUAUAUCGUCCUCAAAAAUACUAAAAUGCAGAGUGUUUCAGAGAUUAUGUAAACCAGUGUUAAGAUAACACAUUUCCUAUUAAUUGUCUAUCAUCAAAAUAUAAAAAUGAAUCUCAACUAUCCACAUUUGUAAGAAGAGAAAUUAGCAUUCUCCUUAAUGAAAAGCAAAAUUUCUUGCUCUUGUCUAUGUUUUCAGAAUAGUCCAAAGUCGUCUUCACCUACAUCAAAACCAGUAUUUUAGAGAGAGUUACAGACUUCCUUGCUUAUUUUAUGAAGUGGUUUCUCAAUAAUCUACUGGCAGUAAUUAAGUGUCAGUAAGGUCAUCAAAUCAAGUUCUCUUUCACAAGACUUGGAAAAAAAUUGUAGGCAUCACAAUGUAUCAAUGCAGCUUCAUCCAAAUUUGUUUCUAAAUGAAAAGAAAAUUGCAAAUUUAAAAGACAAUAUGUAAAAUGUCCCAAGCUCCCAUGAAAAUUAACCUUAAUUUCAUCCUGCAUAUUCAAAUAUCUAGAUUAAAAUCUACCUGAAGAGACUUUCAUUAAGAAGCUAAUACUGGUUACAAAUUAAGAGUGCCUCACAACCAGCAGUAAUGCUAAGGAAAGCAGCAAAAUAUUGAGAAAUCACUAGAGAGUAAUGAACUUCAGAAAUAACAGUAACUAUUUGGUGAUAUAAACUUGAGAAUUUAGAACAUGCACCACAAACCUGACAGUGUCUUAAAUUAAUGAGAAAAUAUAUCUAUAAAAUAACGUAUUGCCAUUUAUUCUUACUAGAAGAGGUUAAUAUUUUACAGGAAAAGAUUAGCAGACUUGACCUGAAUUUUUGUUGCUAAUCACACGAGGUUUAGACCAUCUCUAGUAUAAUCACUGAGCAAGCAAAACUUCUUUUUUUUGCCUUAAAAAAUACUUUUUAAGGGCCCUUGCGUGCUAUUACAAAGCACAGCUUCCCAUAGCCAAAACCUUCACUUCAAAUUUUUAUUUCGGUGGGUGGUCCCUAAGCCCACUAAGCAUUACACUGUGGAAUAAAAAUCACCAAAGCAAUUUCAGUCAUAUAAAAAUGAGCUUAUGUAUCAAAAAAACCCAAACCCUAACUGCAUUUUUGCUCAGUAUCUUCUCAGAUAUUUGAUCAAUUAAAUCUUUGAGACAGGAUAGGUUUGCUUUUUUGUAUAAAAAAGUACUGUGUAUGGCACCAGGCAAGAACUGCAUCCAGACUUAGGAAGGAAAUUUCCAGCUGUAAAGCCAGUUCUGUUUACCAUUUUUUCACUCCAUUAUUAACAAUUUCACUAACCUUAAAGCCUGUUUAGGCAUAACAAAAUUAACUUUUUGAUUUUAGAGUCUUAAAGGACAUUUCUCUGAAUAACAUUUCUUAAAAAAGAAAUGGUUUUGCUCAAGCAAAGCACAAUUAAUGUCAGCUAAUUUUUAGUAUUUUUUACAAAACUGACAUGCUGCUAAAUAACAAGUUGGAAGAAGUAAACCAUUUAAAAGGCAAAUCUGAUUUACAUGUAGGAAACUGUUUCUUGUUCACUCAUCAUCAGAAUUACUUAAACUGCAAGUCUCUGUUUUUGUGUGAAAUGCUACUGAGGAACAAAUAACAAAAUGAAGGUUGAUUCAAAACUAUCCCCAUUCUUUUUGUUUGCUUUUUACAAAUGAAAAGGAUGUCAAGCACCCCCACAAUAUUGUUCAUGAAAACAGACUCCCACUUUCUCUGCAUGAAUUUCUGGAGAGGAUGUCAUUUUCCAAAAACUACUCCUUCCACUACUGUAUUCUGCAGGAGACUUUUGGACAAUCAUUUUUUAUGGAAUGAGGCAAGAACAGUACAGUAACCUCACUUGAGUGUCACAGAUAAUAGUUCAAAUUUGAAGAACAUUUUAUCUGUUCAUUUCUGCUUUUGACAGUUGUCUGUUCAACAAACUCAGUCAGCUGAGGACAAUACGAGCUGUUUGUACACGGAUCUAGCAAGACAAGAUAAAAGAAGAUCUUCUGCAAGUUAUAUUCAUUUCUAAAAUGAAAGGGGAGAACACCCAGCUGUAAUCUUAAUCCUUGAGAGAGAAACAGUUUUACCAGCUGAGUUGAAGCAGGGGCUGUGGCUGUGGAGCUGAGGUCCUCACACGAAGCACCGAUGAAAGCGUUGCUGGUCAGCAUCACUGCAGGAUGCUGGGCUGGUUCCCUGUGCCGACAGGACACUGCUGGCUCCAGAUGUGAGCUGGGUCUUGUUAUAGAUACAUAUUAUAUUGUUGGCUUUUUGCAAAUAUUAAAAAGAAUGCUAUGUGUAUAAGAUUGGAAAAUUUUGUUGUAUUAAUAUAGUUUCCUUUAUUUCUGUUAUUGAUGAAACUUAGAAAUAGUGGUAUAAUACAUAUAUGUUGGGCUAUGGCAUAGUAUUAAAACAAAAACUACUUUUGUUUGUAUAACCCAAAGACUGAGAAAAAAUAGCUAGAGAAGCCCUGCAUUCGUAAACUAACUUAUCCAGAUGAAGACAGCAGUGACCAGAACUCUGGGGGAGGAAUUGAUUGCAUUUCUGUUAUCAGGGAAUGUAAAUCUCGAUGGCGCCAAGAAGAUUGAUCUAUUGGGAAGGGGGCAAGAGAAAACAAAACAAAAGAACACCAAAGAUCCUAAGAAGAAUGUCUGAAUAUGUAUGAGAAUUUAUGGAUACGAAGUAGGGUUCUGUUUUUAAGGGACAAUCCUUUGUUAGUAAGGGGUGCUCUGAUGUGGAUAGACAGGGAACGCCGAUCGGAAGAUCUCGCGUUGUACGUGAAGAUAGGGCCCCUCUUUCCACAAUG